RNAcentral lists this non-coding RNA (46 nucleotides) under Trichobilharzia regenti. Lineage: Eukaryota; Metazoa; Platyhelminthes; Trematoda; Strigeidida; Schistosomatidae. The record is from RNAcentral.
GUACUCCUGAAGAGUCCCAAACUAGGACUAAACAUCUGUCCAGUAC